Molecule: ribosomal RNA, 497 nt
Filed under: uncultured bacterium
Lineage: Bacteria
Description: partial 16S ribosomal RNA
Rfam family: Bacterial small subunit ribosomal RNA
Source: RNAcentral
GAUGAACGCUGGCGGCGUGCCUAAUACAUGCAAGUCGAGCGGACGGACGAGAAGCUUGCUGCUCUGAUGUUAGCGGCGGGCGGGUGAGUAACACGUGUAUAACCUACCUAUAAGACUGGGAUAACUUCGGGAAACGGGAGAUAAUACCGGAUAAUAUUCUGAACCGCAGGGGUCAAAAGAGAAAGACGGUCUUGCUGGCACUUCUAGAUGGUUCCGCGCUGCAUUAGCUAGUUGGUAAGGUAACGGCCUACCAAGGCGACGAUGCAUGGCCGACCUGAUGGGGUGAUCGCCCACACGGGAACUGAGACGCGGUCCAGGCUCCUGCGGGAGGCAGCAGUCGGGAAUCUUCCGCAAUGGGCGAAAGCCUGACGGAGCAAGGGCGCGUGAGUGAUGAAGGUCUUCGGAGCGUAAAGCUCUGUUAUUAGGGAAGAACAUAUGUGUAAGUAACUGUGCACAGCGUGACGGUACCUAGUCAGAAAGCACCGGCUAACUACGUG